GACGAACGCUGGCGGCGUGCUUAACACAUGCAAGUCGAACGGAAAGGCCCUGCUUGCAGGGUACUCGAGCGGCGAACGGGUGAGUAACACGUGGGUGAUCUGCCCUGCACUUCGGGAUAAGCCUGGGAAACUGGGUCUAAUACCGGAUAGGAGCCAUUUUUAGUGUGAUGGUUGGAAAGUUUUUUCGGUGUAGGAUGAGCUCGCGGCAUAUCAGCUUGUUGGUGGGGUAAUGGCCUACCAAGGCGGCGACGGGUAGCCGGCCUGAGAGGGUGGACGGCCACAUUGGGACUGAGAUACGGCCCAGACUCCUACGGGAGGCAGCAGUGGGGAAUAUUGCACAAUGGGCGCAAGCCUGAUGCAGCGACGCCGCGUGGGGGAUGACGGCCUUCGGGUUGGAAACUCCUUUCGCUAGGGACGAAGCUUUUUGUGACGGUACCUAGAUAAGAAGCACCGGCUAACUACGUG
Molecule: ribosomal RNA, 465 nt
Filed under: uncultured bacterium
Lineage: Bacteria
Description: partial 16S ribosomal RNA
Rfam family: Bacterial small subunit ribosomal RNA
Source: RNAcentral